This 492-nucleotide ribosomal RNA is filed under the name uncultured bacterium. Its description in RNAcentral is "partial 16S ribosomal RNA". It matches the Rfam family "Bacterial small subunit ribosomal RNA", at positions 29 to 507 of the family's 1533-position model. The record is from RNAcentral.
AGUGAACGCUGGCGGUAGGCCUAACACAUGCAAGUCGAACGGCAGCACAGUAAAAGCUUGCUCUUACGGGUGGCGAGUGGCGGACGGGUGAGGAAUACAUCGGAAUCUACUUUUUCGUGGGGGAUAACGUAGGGAAACUUACGCUAAUACCGCAUACGACCUACGGGUGAAAGCAGGGGAUCUUCGGACCUUGCGCGAUUGAAUGAGCCGAUGUCGGAUUAGCUAGUUGGCGGGGUAAAGGCCCACCAAGGCGACGAUCCGUAGCUGGUCUGAGAGGAUGAUCAGCCACAUUGGAACUGAGACACGGUCCAGACUCCUACGGGAGGCAGCAGUGGGGAAUAUUGGACAAAGGGCGCAAGCCUGAUCCAGCCAUACCGCGUGGGUGAAGAAGGCCUUCGGGUUGUAAAGCCCUUUUGUUGGGAAAGAAAAGCAGCAGGUUAAUACCCCGCUGUUCUGACGGUACCCAAAGAAUAAGCACCGGCUAACUUCGUG